GUCGCGAGCGCGUAUAAGCCCUCCGGUACAGCCAACAGCUAUGCUGAAUUCAAGCAUACCUGUUGCCGACUCACCAGCGCGCUGCAUUUUAAACCGCCUGCACUAUGCUACGAGGACACCGGAGUGUAAAAAUGAACAUGUGCGGUGGAGCCAGUACUGGCCAUUAUACUGGCUCCACAUGUGUCCAAACACACCCCGCCUCACAGCGCUCAUCCUCUAGACGACACCGCGCUCCUACGGCAGCGCCCUAAACACACCAACGAAUCUUUUGGUCGUUGUUACCCAAAGGAAGAAAAUAGCAGACAUGGCAAAAUGUGGCCAAUAGAUCCAUCUGCAGCAAACAUUGAAGAUAGCAGUUUAAGCAUGAAUGAAAAAGAAAGCCUCAUCGAUCUAUCAUCCGACGACAGUCUGAAAGCUAAAUUUCUUAUCAAGACCUCAUUUUUGGCUUUCCAUAAAA
This is a long non-coding RNA of Polypterus senegalus (gray bichir), 457 nucleotides long. RefSeq lists it as uncharacterized. Lineage: Eukaryota; Metazoa; Chordata; Cladistia; Polypteriformes; Polypteridae. The transcript has 3 exons. The record is from RefSeq and is a predicted model, not a curated record.